This 465-nucleotide ribosomal RNA is filed under the name Vreelandella stevensii. RNAcentral describes it as "partial 16S ribosomal RNA". It matches the Rfam family "Bacterial small subunit ribosomal RNA", at positions 338 to 795 of the family's 1533-position model. Lineage: Bacteria; Pseudomonadati; Pseudomonadota; Gammaproteobacteria; Oceanospirillales; Halomonadaceae. The record is from RNAcentral.
CCUACGGGCGGCUGCAGUGGGGAAUAUUGGACAAUGGGCGAAAGCCUGAUCCAGCCAUGCCGCGUGUGUGAAGAAGGCCUUCGGGUUGUAAAGCACUUUCAGUGGGGAAGAAAGCCUUGGGGCUAAUACCCUCGAGGAAGGACAUCACCCACAGAAGAAGCACCGGCUAACUCCGUGCCAGCAGCCGCGGUAAUACGGAGGGUGCGAGCGUUAAUCGGAAUUACUGGGCGUAAAGCGCGCGUAGGCGGUCUGAUAAGCCGGUUGUGAAAGCCCCGGGCUCAACCUGGGAACGGCAUCCGGAACCGUCAGGCUAGAGUGCAGGAGAGGAAGGUAGAAUUCCCGGUGUAGCGGUGAAAUGCGUAGAGAUCGGGAGGAAUACCAGUGGCGAAGGCGGCCUUCUGGACUGACACUGACGCUGAGGUGCGAAAGCGUGGGUAGCAAACAGGAUUAGAUACCCUGGUAGUC